UGGGGAAUUUGGACAAUGGGCGAAAGCCUGAUCCAGCAAUGCCGCGUGUGUGAAGAAGGCCUUCGGGUUGUAAAGCACUUUUGUCCGGAAAGAAAUCCUUGGCUCUAAUACAGUCGGGGGAUGACGGUACCGGAAGAAUAAGCACCGGCUAACUACGUGCCAGCAGCCGCGGUAAUACGUAGGGUGCAAGCGUUAAUCGGAAUUACUGGGCGUAAAGCGUGCGCAGGCGGUUUGCUAAGACCGAUGUGAAAUCCCCGGGCUCAACCUGGGAACUGCAUUGGUGACUGGCAGGCUAGAGUAUGGCAGAGGGGGGUAGAAUUCCACGUGUAGCAGUGAAAUGCGUAGAGAUGUGGAGGAAUACCGAUGGCGAAGGCAGCCCCCUGGGCCAAUACUGACGCUCAUGCACGAAAGCGUGGGGAGCAAAACAGGAUUAGAUACCCUGGUAGUCCACGCCCUAAACGAUGUCAACUAGUUGUUGGGGAUUCAUUUCCUUAGUAACGUAGCUAACGCGUGAAGUUGACCGCCUGGGGAGUACGGUCGCAAGAUUAAAACUUAAAUGAAUUGACGGGGUCAUAGCUGUUUCCU
Molecule: ribosomal RNA, 585 nt
Filed under: uncultured bacterium
Lineage: Bacteria
Description: partial 16S ribosomal RNA
Rfam family: Bacterial small subunit ribosomal RNA
Source: RNAcentral